GAUUUCUCUCCAAUAACGGGCUUCACUUGAAAUCUUUGCUCAACUACAACAUUCAGGUUCUCAUUUUGAUGCAAACCAUAAGCACCAAACACUUCUUUCGGUGUAAUAAUUUCAUCCUCAGCAGGACGACCUUGACUAAAGAAAAAUCUAGUUUGAUUUCCAGAUUGAUCACAAAUGAGAAACCUCUUCUGAGGAUUUGUAGAUGCAUCAGUUGGUGGGGACUUAAACCCAAUCAAGUGAGGCAGAAAGCAUUUAGUAUCACUUGAAUACACAUUUUUGGUGGGAACUAAGUUUGGCCGCCAAUUGACUCCAUUGUGACAUGCUUCCAUGGAAUUCGGCAAACAAGGGAUAAAGCAUGAACGCCUAGGAGAAACUGCAUUUGCAGCACAUAUGGCAGGGG
Molecule: unclassified non-coding RNA, 400 nt
Filed under: Hevea brasiliensis (rubber tree)
Lineage: Eukaryota; Viridiplantae; Streptophyta; Magnoliopsida; Malpighiales; Euphorbiaceae
Source: RNAcentral